Long non-coding RNA from Drosophila santomea, 1128 nucleotides. RefSeq lists it as uncharacterized. The transcript is spliced from 3 exons. NCBI's taxonomy places the organism in Eukaryota, Metazoa, Arthropoda, Insecta, Diptera, Drosophilidae. The record is from RefSeq and is a predicted model, not a curated record.
AGUUGUCAAUAACACAAUGCAAAGACCUGUAAAAUAGGUUUUUGAAAAUAUAAAAUAAAUAUCGAAUCGAUGAUAAUUCCCUUUUAAAAAUAUUAUCAAAAUGAUAAAAUACAUCACCGGAAAAUAUUGAUAUAUCGAGUAUUCUAUCGAAGCAGAGGCACAAAUUGAAAAUCUAGAGCUUUGUUACAGUUUUAAUUCCAAUGUUCUCAAUUACUUUAUUACUCCUCUUUGACCAUAUUUACAAACAACACCUUUGGCCCUCCUUUAAUUUAAUAAAUGAAUUACUUUAUAUUUUAUAAGUAUUUUUCUUCACGUUAACUUUUGGCGUCGUACUUAUCGACUCAUGCCAAAUGGAAAUUUCUUUUGCCGACGGCCAAAUUUUGUUUGUCAAAUCUGAGGUGGGGAAGAAAUAAAUUUUUUAUAAAAUAACUAAGUGGCAGAAUGAUCUUGUGGUGGUGUGGAAUAACCAUCAAUAGGUCACUGUGCAAACUAUUUUUUGCCAUGGUAAAUAAGAUCUGGUAUUGAUAUAAAAAAAGGCAUUUACUUUUCAUUUUGGCCAGACAAAUCGAAAAAAUUCUUACGAAUUCGGUUAGCAGAGCAUGCCUGCAUUUCUCAUAUUUCAAUAGAUACAUUUUUAGACGACUAGUUUCUCGGUAGUCGACUUUUGAAAGUACAUUUAGGAAGAAAUGGUAAAAGCAAUAAAACGGUUUUUUAAAAUCUCUCCAUCUUCUAUUAAAUAUAAUUGGAUAUGUGAACAGUGGUGACCGGGAUCUGGAAAAGAUCAACAUGUUCCCAUCACUCCCAUCCAAUCGCUCAGCGUCCCCGUCUUAGCCAAAUUCUCAAGGCCAUAGGCUUUCAACAUGAGGCAACCGACGUCAAGCCGUAGUGGCCUGUACGAUUCGGUACCUAACUUGUUCUUAAAUCGAACAGCAACAGCCAUUCAAAAAAACUUAUCCGACACACUACUCAAUCGUUAACUCAUUCUUUUUAAAGUAUGGAACUCUUGGAGGAGGUGGACUUACCAACAACUGAAAAUACCAUGGUAUAUCCCACUGGUGGUGUUGUGGAUACUUGACAUUCGUAGAUUCCGGAAUCUCUUAGUUGAGAAAACUUGAUCUUGAAAUGUAC